This is a long non-coding RNA of Bubalus bubalis (water buffalo), 3672 nucleotides long. RefSeq lists it as uncharacterized. The record is from RefSeq and is a predicted model, not a curated record. NCBI's taxonomy places the organism in Eukaryota, Metazoa, Chordata, Mammalia, Artiodactyla, Bovidae. The transcript is spliced from 3 exons.
UAUAACCUGGCUCCUCCUCUUGCCUCCUCAGAGCAGUUCUCUUGGGGUCACUUGAGAUGCUUUCUCCAGGGCUUAAAGUCCUAAAAAUUCCCACUGAAUAAAACAACUCUCAACUUUUAGAUUAUGAAUACUUUUUAAGUCGACACAAGCAAAGUGAAAACAGCAGAGAGAGCUGCAAACUUCCACCUGCCAAAGACUUAAUGAAUUACAUUUCCAUUACAUUUCCAGAUGGGACUAAGUGCAAAUUGUAGCAGAUGAGGACAUUGGGGCAGAAAAGAUGAAGUAGUUCACCUAAGGACACACAGCAGAAACAGUGACAAUGCCAGUCAUAGCUGAGGGUGCUUAGCUGCUGGAAGGAUCUGAAAUGACUGCAUAAACCCACAAUGGAGGCCAAGACAGCCCACAGCUGAAGCCUUGCCCAUUUGGAUCCUUUGCAUCAUUAGCUCCCACGCUGUCAGUUUCCAUGGAGCCAUGGGGACGAGAGGACUUGAGGCAAGUUCAGCUAGUGGAGCUCUGGGUCUGUUGGGAGAUGGAAGGAGCCCGACAGGUGUCAGCCAGGUAGCCCCAGAGCCUGCAGUCCUGGGCGCAGCUGCCAGUGGCUUGACAGUGAUCUUGCUUUAAAGUCCUCCCUCUAUUUAACAAAACCCUCUCCUCUUAUUGUUUUGAAAAUGCCAAAGGGAGCUUGAAACCUGUAUGAGGGGUGAGGGAGAAUCACAAAAAUAAUGUCGUGACUUUGAAGACAGAGAUGUUCUGAACAGGACCUUUAAUUUGCUCAGCGAGCUUGGAGAGGUUUUUGGGUUUUUUUUUCUGGACUCAUCGCCCUUAUGAGUUAGUGCUUCAGUCGUGUCCGACUCUUUGCAACCCCAUGGACGGUAGCCCACCAGGCUCCUCUGUCCAUGGAAUUCUCCAGGCAAGACUACUGGAGUGGGUUGCCAUGCCCUUCUCCAGGUAUGAGUUAGUAGCCUCUUUUAAAUAAAUGAAGAAACAACCGACCACUCCCCCCGUCAUCUCACAUACCUGUCAGGUAGGUGUUAAGAUGCAUGUUACUAAGGACCAAAGGAAUCUCCUGGAGGUUAAUAACUUAGCCCAGGUCACCCAGCGUGUAGGCAGAGAGCUGGAGCCAAGUCCACCUCUCCCCAGAUUGCCUCUGGGACCUCAUCGACAGCCUUCUGGCUGCCUCCCUGGAGCUGGAUACCUCCAUUAGGCUGUAACUGUGCAUUAAGCCCAUCCUCCUUCUCAGGGUCUGAGGGGGCUGAUGUGUCACUUGACACAAAGAGCUCUUUCAUCAGCUGCCCCCACUGAGGACCACCCAGGACAAAGUCAGCUUCAGCCACAGCUGGACAAAUUUAGGUCAGAUCUGCAGAAGAAUUUCCUGGCACGGCAGUUAGACAAUAGGACACGUUCUUGAGCAAAGUUGUAAUUUUCAUCUUCGGAGGAUGAGAAAAUCAGAGCCAGUUUCCUCUGUGUCAAAGAAGCUGAGGCUUUCACUUUGCAACCUCUUCAGGUCCCUUUAUACCACAUGGAUCCUUGAAGCCCAGGAGACAAAAAUCUUGCUGCAAGAAGAAAAGAGAUCUCCUGGAGCCGCAAACAGAGGUGGUCAAUCUUUGAGGAUUUAUCAGACCCUCGUAGUGUAUCUCACCUGAUCGAGGCACCUGGGUUAGCAACAAAUGAGAUGGAGUCUUCCUGCAGAUAGAGAUUUGAUUCCCGUGAUGGGAGAUAAACCCCCAAAUGAAUAAGGUGAUACUGCAUACAGAUGAGACCAGGAAAUUAAGGCAGGAGGAGAAGGGGAGGACAGAGGACAAGAUGGUUGGAUGGCAUCACCGAUUCAAUGAAAAGGAGUUUGAGCAAGCUCCAGGAGAUGGUGAAGGAUGGGGAAGCAUGGUGUGCUGCAGUCUGUGGGGUCGCAAAGAGUCAGACACGACUGAGUGACUGAACAACUUGGAAGGAGAAACUUGACUUUGCCUUAGCAGGUUGAUCCAGGUCCACAUCCUCCACUUCUGAAGAAGUAUCUUUGGAAUUGUGUCCUGGAGGAUAAGAAAUAGCAACUGGGUAGAUGUACAGAGAAAGAAUAUUCUCAGCAGAAGAACCAAUAAAAAUUCAGAGGUUGGCAGUCAAGGAGACCUGGUACAGUGUAUUCCACUUACUAGCUGACUGCCUCGAGAGCUUGAAUUUCUUCAUCUGUAAAAUGGGGACAGUAUCAGCACCUAUCCAUUGGUUUGCUGAGAAGAUUAAAAGGAAGGAAAAAAGAAAAAAAAGAUGCUGAAAAAUAAAAUAAGACAUAGCCCCCACCCUUUGGGAGCUCACAGAACAGAUAAUGAGGAGACAUGAGCAACUCAAUUUAGAAAAAACAUUUAUGAAAUAUAUGAUCAAUAAUAACCAACAUCUGGAGAAGGAAAUGGCAACCCACUCUAGUAUUCAGGAGAAUUCCAUGGACAGAGGAGCCUGGUGGACUGUAGUCCACUGGGUUGGGGAGUCAGACACGACUGAGAGACUAACUCACGCACACAAUACUCAACACCAUCAAAGUCCAAAUUGCUGGUCCCUGCAAAUGUACAGACCUGCUGUUGUUAUAAUCUAUUGUCCAAAUCAUAAACCCUUAAGGAGAGUGAACCAGUCUCUGCUGGAAAAGCUUUCUUCCCUCUGAGGCCAGUGUAUAUACAUACAUAUAUAUAUAUAUAUAUUAAUAGCAUACCCCAGUGUCCUCUCCCCUGAAGAAGUAAUUGGCAAUCCACUCCAGUAUUCUUGCCUGGAGAAUUCCAUGGACAGGAGCCUGGCAGGCUACAGUCCAUGGAGUCGCUAAGAGUUGGACACGACUAAGUGAGUAUCACUCACUCACUCACUCCAGUGUCCCCUACACCCAGGAAAUACCAUGACAAUUUUUAAGAUAUCUAUCAGCAAGAGUAAACUAAGAGAAGAAAAGAGGUGUCAACCACAAGCUCUGAUGUUUUCUGUCGUAAAUAAUAAACACGCACAUCUUUGUCUUGGGGACUUUGCCUGAGGGACUAUGCUCAUAUGGAUGAUAGUAACUAUUUAGUGUUUCAUUUUAAAGAAUGCUUCUCACCUUUCCAGAAAAUUAAAGGCUAUAGUUCCAGCUGACUGUAGUUUUCUUCUGGGGGCUUCAUUUUUUUCACUACUCAAAAUAGUGUUUAUUUCACCUUUGGAUACAAAUAAUACAGUUUCAUUUGAUGGCAAUGUCCAUUGUCUUUAUAAGAGCUUGCUUGCUGUCACUGCCAGGAGGGUUAUAUACCAGGGAGGACUGUGAAAUCAAUUGAAGAAUAAUCUCCUUGGGAAAGUAGUGCUGCUGUAGAAGGCGGUGAAAUUGACUGUUCUAUAAUGAGCGGAGCUCAGGCAGCAUUUGGAUGGAGAUCUUUUAGCCAUAAGCUGCUGAUAUGUCUCUGAAAUUGGCAUUGGUGCUUUGUCCUGCUCACACUGUGUGUCGUGUAUUGUAUGAAGGCAUGGGACUGCCUCCAUGGUGGGCCACAUACUGUCCUCUGACUCUACAUCACCUGUGACCUUGACAGCAGCCCUUAAAUGGAUGCUUUGGAUCAUUCCUUUGUUGUUGUUUAGUUGCUAAGUCAUAUCUGACUCUGCGACCCCAUGAACUGUAGCCCACCAGGCUCCUCUGUCCAUGGGAUUUCCCAGGCAAGAAUCCUGGAGUGGGUUGCUGUUUCC